UUAAUAGUAAAAUCUGCUCAAUGAUAAUUAAAUAGCCGCAAUUAGUGCUAAGGUAGCAUAAUCAUUUGUCUUUUAAAUGAAGACUAGAACAAAAGAUUUAACAUUUUUAUCUAUAUAUUUUAUAUAAAAUCUUAAUUUAUUGUAAGUGUAAAAAAACACUUAUAUAUUAAAUAGACGACAAGACCCUAUUGAACUUAACUUUAGUUAAACUGGGGCAGUUAGUCAAUUAUCAUUUUAAUUUAAAAACUUAGAAAUAAAUCUAAACAAUUAAUAAACCAGUUACCAUAGGGAUAACAGCGCAAUUAUAUUUUAAAGUUCUUAUAUAAAAUAUAGAUUACGACCUCGAUGUUGAAUUAAUAACCUAAUUAAAGCAAAUUUUAAUAAAGGAAGUCUGUUCGACUUUUAAAAAAUUACAUGAUUUGAGUUCAGACCGGUAUAAGCCAGGUCGGCUUCCAUCUUUUUUAAAAAAUUUUACAGUACGAAAGGACCUAAAAACUUAAUUAAAUUAUUUUAUUAGCAAAUAAAUGCAUUAGAAUUAGAAUCUAAAAAAACU
This 553-nucleotide ribosomal RNA is filed under the name Thorelliola mahunkai. RNAcentral's name for it is "partial 16S ribosomal RNA". The stretch from base 169 to 461 matches the Rfam family "Bacterial large subunit ribosomal RNA", at positions 2074 to 2646 of the family's 2925-position model. Lineage: Eukaryota; Metazoa; Arthropoda; Arachnida; Araneae; Salticidae. The record is from RNAcentral.